UUUAUUUAUUGUAGUUACUAUAGUUUAUUUUAUUUUAUUUUAUUAAGGUUUACGAGCUGUGGGAGGGACGAGGGCUGGCGACGUGCUGUGGGACACGAUGCAGGGGCCGAGGAGGGAAUUUAGGGUUAAGUUUUUAUACGGGAACGGUUAGAGGGGCUUUAGCGGGCUUUCACCGGGCUUGUGGGGUUUUAGCAGGUCAUCGAUGAGAGUUUCCAAAAAUGUCAUUAGAAAUCCGUCAUGGAUUAACAGGUUUCUUGUAGUGACAUGUCGAGCACAAUGAGUGGUGAUCCUCCGGCCUCCCACUCGCACGCAGCCGCCGCCAGCCUCCCGCUCGCUCGCCGCCGCCGUUGUCACCAGUCCCGGCCAUGGCGCCUCCGCUGCCGUCGUGCCCCUGAAGACCUAUUCAUCUUGCCUGAAGGUGAUCCUGUGUCAGAUCCUCCACUUAACCCGCGUGGACCGGCUCGUGGGUCACUGACAGUGGGUCCCUUGGGCCCACUGGUCAGGUUUGACCAGUCGCCCUCGCCUCCUUCCUCCUCUGGCUGAACAGAGGCAGGGCUCCGGCGAUCAACGCCGGCGAACGACGGCUCCUCGCGGGGUCCUGAGGGCGGGGAUGGAUCCGCCAGGCCGGGGCGGUCCUCCCGAUGGUCAAGGAGGUGGCGGGGAUGGAGGGAGUCGCCGGCGGCGAGCUCCGCGGCGGACGGCAGCUUCGGGAGGUUUGGGGCUUUGGCCUACGGUGGUUCCCUGACGCAGCUGAGGGUUUGGGCGGCUCCGCACGGUCGAGGGGAGGAGGAUGGUGGUGCUAUACGGACGGGGGGGCUCUGGUUGCGACUGAAUGGACCGGAGGGCGGCGGCGGCUGUACUGGCCGGAGAUGGGGAAGAAGACCCUCCCUGGUCGAUUGCCUGCUAUGGGGGUGCUAGGUGGGGUGGCUUGAGGUCGCCUGAGGGACUGGACGGACUCGGGGGCUCCUUAUAUAGGCGGCCGGAGUCGGUUCCAACGGCGGCCGUGGAUAAGAACGGCGAACCACCGUUCUCUAGCCUGCAGGACGUCGUGGCGGCGACGGGCACUAGUGGACGAGCUCGCGGAUAAGCUUGGACUGCUCCAGAGGCGAGCUGGCGAGCGGCUGUGUCUCGGGCGGCGCCGUCCAUGGCAGGGGCCUGCUGUGGCCGGCCGUCGUGCCCCUGAAGACCUAUUCAUCUUGCCUGAAGGUGAUCCUGUGUCAGAUCCUGCACGAUACCUCAUCACUACAACAAGUCAGCGGCGGUGUAUGAGGCGUCCAUGGCCCUGGUGGCGCCUUCAAGGGAGGACGCAUGAUCUUCAAGGGAGGACAGGCCAUCAGAUUCAUCCACUUGGUAGCGUCUUUGUUCAUCCAGGUUUGACGAUUCAUCUUUUCAUUAUCUAGUCUCUCAGGGAUGUCAAACGUACCCUCAACAACUAACGUCAGCAUUUAUUUUGUUCUGUAGUGAACCCCCUCGAUGAAUGCAUGUCUGUUGCCGUGGCUAGAGAAAAUUCUACAUAUCCAAAUCCUGAUAACCAACAAGAUAAGUAGCAGCUUUGAUAUGGAGGUAUUUUCCUUCACUGCGUGCUUUUUCUUUGUGCCCUUUACUGUACUGUAGUAGCAUUUGCUAAAUUGCAUUGAGAGAAUAGGACGGCACAACAAGCUAGGGCUUCAAGAAAACCAACCAAAUUCCUUUUUUUUGGGAUCAACCAACCAAAUUGCUGUAAUAGCACGAUCCGCAAGACCUAGAAGGGAUCUACACAUGACAUCGGUGGCUUCUCCUCCACCUGCUAUUUGCCGCUUUGACACUGUUGACAGAUCCGAGUUCCACCUGCUAGGCUCGAAUGGUAGAUGUUACGGGCAACUGUAUGUGAAUCCCACUCCAAGGGAUCGCCCUUCUCUAUCCCAGAUAUGGCGGUUAUGGAGUUGAUGGCUCGUGUUUUUUUUUCUCAUUUGCUUUAUUUGUUUUGUUUUGUUUCUACUUACAACAAAAAACUUAUUUAUUUUAUUUCUAAUUACUUAUGUAUUUUACUUUAAUUAUUUUAUUUUUAUUUAUUUUACUGCUGCUAUUUUCAUUUAUUUUACUGCUGCUAUUUUUACUUAAUUUAUUAAGGUUUAUUUAUUGUAGUUACUAUAGUUUAUUUUAUUUUAUUAAGGUUUAUUUAGUUUUAUUUAUUUUAUUAAGGUUUAUUUAUUUUAUAAAUAUAAAAAAAUGAACAUAGAUGCGCUUAUAGAGAAAAUUCAACCUAAAUUCAUAAUAAAUUAAUUUACUAUGAAUUUAGGUCAAAUUCCCUGUAUAAGGGCAUCUAUUUUCACUUUAAGAGAAGCUCAACAAGGCAUAGAGGGACGGGCUUAUAAACUGGUGUGAGCGCCCUUCGGUUGGCGAGGUGGGACUAAACACUGG
This 2400-nucleotide long non-coding RNA is filed under the name Triticum aestivum (bread wheat). RNAcentral describes it as "long non-coding RNA (TAES_LNC013737)". The record is from RNAcentral. Lineage: Eukaryota; Viridiplantae; Streptophyta; Magnoliopsida; Poales; Poaceae.